UACGUAGGGUGCAAGCGUUGUCCGGAAUUAUUGGGCGUAAAGAGCUCGUAGGCGGUCUGUUGCGUCGGCUGUGAAAACCCGAGGCUCAACCUCGGGCCUGCAGCCGAUACGGGCGGACUAGAGUUCGGCAGGGGAGACUGGAAUUCCUGGUGUAGCGGUGAAAUGCGCAGAUAUCAGGAGGAACACCGGUGGCGAAGGCGGGUCUCUGGGCCGAUACUGACGCUGAGGAGCGAAAGCGUGGGGAGCGAACAGG
Molecule: ribosomal RNA, 253 nt
Filed under: uncultured bacterium
Lineage: Bacteria
Description: partial 16S ribosomal RNA
Rfam family: Bacterial small subunit ribosomal RNA
Source: RNAcentral